Molecule: long non-coding RNA, 11744 nt
Organism: Diceros bicornis minor
Lineage: Eukaryota; Metazoa; Chordata; Mammalia; Perissodactyla; Rhinocerotidae
Exons: 7
Source: RefSeq, a predicted model, not a curated record
UAGCGGGUGGGGCAGACCCUGGGCUAGCAGGCCUCAGGGAGAACUCCAAUGGCGUCUGUGUCAGCAUGCCCACACCAGGCCACAACAAUGGCCGCCGCCAAUGUCCCAGUCCCUGGAGAGGUCUCACCCCUCACCGAGAUGCACUCAGGGCCUAUUAGGUGCCUAAUCCAUGGAGGCAGCUAACACGAGGCCUGUGGGGACAGUUCUUUUUGGCAACGUAAGCAUCCUGAAGGCUUCAGAGAGCAGCGCUCAGCUUUAACUACAGAUCUUGCCAAUGGCCCAGUGUGAACUAGUUGGAUGAUGGAAUGACACCAAGGAAGAGGAGAAGUAGGAGUGACCCACUGAUGGAGAGACAGUCAGAGCCUAGAGGCUAAGCUGCUGUGGCUCCUGGUUUAACACCCAGCCUGUUUUAGGCAAAAUCAGGGCACCAUAAAAGGUAAAGGCCCCUGGACCAGGGGUGCUGGGUCUGAUUUCUAUCUCUAUCAUUGACCUGACUUAAGACCAUAGAGUGUCCACGAAAGCCCUAUGGAAAUACUGUACCUUCCUCAUUUGUAACUUAUCCUAUUUCUCUCCUUGGGUCGUGGUGAGGAUCUGUUGAGAGGAAAACCAUGAAAGCACUUUGAAAAGUAAACAAUGUUUGACAGCAUCAGUGAUCAACCUUCUCAGAAGUGCAAGCUAGGCCCUCUGAAGCCAGAUCCUAUGAUGCAGCAAAUAUGUAAGAGAAAAGCUUUCAUUCUUAAGCAUUUAUUGGAAAAAUAUUUUAACUUUCCUUGUUAUAUACAAAUGGAUAUGACAUCAGAAUUGCAUUAUGUCAGAGCAAUUUAUUCUGAAAUGGUUUAAAAGAUGAGGACCACAUAGAGACACUACGUCUGUUUUUUAUUGGGUUUUUUUUUUUGGUAGGAGGUUGUCUCACAGGAUAAUGGAAAUUAAUAGGGAUCUGAUCUCUUUCCCGUUUAAACUACUGAUUUAUGUAACAGGACAAGUACAAACCUGCACAGCAAUAUGGUGACUAAGAGAAAUAAAUGAUUUCAAGCCAGCAGCAUGACAAAUGGUCAGAAUAAGAUUGCACCUUCUGGUUAUUACAACCCUUUAUUAUGAUAUAUCAUUAAGCAACCCAGUGUUUCAUAUAAUGCAGAAGUGAUUAACCCACCAGAAACAGAUGAGAAUGCUGGGUCUUCCAACUUCUCUGGAAAUAAAAAUGGGAAUCAAUUAGGCCAACUUUUUGAUUAUGACCUGAGUAACUUGUCCUCCUUGCUAUGUGUUGAAAACAAACUGCAGGGUCAGUCCCAGAUAGAAAGAAACCUUUAGAGAAAAUCUAGUCCAUCCCUUUCUUUGCACAGAUGAGGAGACUGUGGCCCUCUCAGAUAGAGGAAGUGGAAAACAUGAAGAGAUCUCGACCUAUGCGGCUGAAUUAAGUGUCUGCCAUAGUAGAUGCUCAAUGAAUGCUUAAUGAUAAGCCUUAGGGACAAGGAACUUUCAUAAGAGAUCACAGGCAAGUGAGAAAAUAAGAGACUUGGCCAGGGCUCGCAGGACUGUAACUGGAGUCAAGCAAUCUGGGUGCUAGACCUAGUUCUACCAUCAAUAGCUUAUACAGAGCAUAUUAUUUACUUUACUCUAAGAUUCCUCUGUGAAUAAUAUUUUCUGUUCCAGCUGCCUUAGAAGAGUGCUUUAGAGUAAGUGAAGAAAGAAGUAUAAAUGCACUUCGGAAAAUGUCAACUACUCUCCUCUACGGCUAGUAAAUUUGUCUUGUAGAUGAACAAGGAAGAUCAGACUGUCUUUAAAGAAAGACCUAGGAAGCAGCAGAAAACAGCUAAGUGAGAUAUUUCACUGAUGGUUGAAGUGGAUGGUUGUUAUUUAUUUCUCUUUAAAUCCUCUGGCAAACUUACUUAUGUAGGUCAGAGCUGUGGAAUGGAAAUCAGUCUGGGGUAUUUUGAUCAUUAGGGCGUGUUUCUUAUGAGCCUUUUAAGAUAAAACACCAGGCAAAGGUACAAUUUCAAUUUUCUAGGCGUUCAGAAUCUAAGACUCAUGAUAACACAGCCUGGAGCAUAGGGCAACUAUAAUGAACCCACCAAAGAGAGAGAGGGAUAAUCCCCUGUAUUUAAAAAGCUCUCAAUUUUAAAAAGUGUCCUUAAACAUUUGUCUAUUUCCUCUGCGGACUUCAGAAGUCAGAAAACCAAGCUGUGUUAUAUGGAAAGCCAGAUGUAACAGUUAGUUGAGAGAUAGAUAUUCAUAUUUGCUAUAAAAUUCAGCCAAAUAACCAACUAUCCUAGAGUAUUUAGAAAUAUGAACAUGUGAAUUAAAAUCUUAUUGACUUUCUAUUAUUUAACCAUUGCAUACCUAAUUGUCUCUGUUUUAAUGAUGUAAAAAUCCCAUUAAAAGUUGUUUAAUUUUUUUCCACUUGAAACAGAUCAGAUAGCCACAGGUUUCCUUAAAGCAAGUAAAGUAGAAGUCAAAUAAUUGCGAUGUGAAAGGGCUUUCUUAAGACCAAGUAUGAUUCCCAAAGUCCCAUUAAUUUCUACCGCCAUUUCAUCAGACCAAGACCUCUCAAGGACAAUCACCAUAACUAAUUAUAGGAGAUGUCCAGUUUUUCCAGGAUAAGCUUGAGGUGAUCCAAAUAUCAGGACUUCAAAUUUAACACUUAUUCCAUAUAUUAACUACAUUUUAUUAAUGAAACCAAAUAUUUGCCUUUCUCCUUUUGUUCCCUCUACUCCAAGUCUGGAAGAAAUAGAUUCUGUCUGACAUCUGGGUUUUCCAAGAGUGCAUCUUUCCAAGAAGGAAGAAUGGUUUCCUUAGGCCAGUAUUUGUCAAAUUGAGGUCCAAGGAUUUCCUGUAGUUACAAGUGCAGAUUCUUGGAUUCUACCUCAGACCUACUGAAUUAGAACCACUGGGAUUGAGACUCAAGGAUCUAAAUAUAUAACAGACUUCCAAGAUUAUAUGAAGGCCCCCUCUGAAUAUGAGGAGCUGUUGAUUCUCUGUGCUCAACUUUGCAGCGACAACACUUUAAGAGGAAUCUGGAUUAUUUAAAAAAUUUCCAUGGACUUGGGACGAUGGAAUCAUAAACUUCAGAGCAUGAAGGGCAGCAUAUACUUACCUACCAAAUGAUAAAUGGUUCCUUUUCAAGGGCUAACUAUGCUCUGGCAUUGUUUGUUGAAUGGAUGGAUGGAGGAAGAAAUGAAUGCAUAAAUAAAUGAAAGAGUCAACCAGGCUUCAGUGAAGAUAUGACCUAUAUUAACAGAUGUAUCGACGAUUCUAUAACAUGUGUGAAUGUAAUGGAAUAACUCCAACACAUACUGUAGGGAGGGACUUUGUGAUAAGCCUGUCCCAAGCCACAUUCUAAAGAGUUUAUUUGAAUUCAGUUGCCUUCCCCCUAUUUUCUGUUCUCUGCCCUACUGGCUGCCUAAGCAAUUGUGGCUGGUUCUUAAAGUGAGUUCAAAUUAUCAGCCAAUUGGCCCUGACUUCCCAUCCCAAGGUAGGCAUGUCUGCCUGCUUCUCCUGGCUUAUUGGACUUUGCCUGAGGCUUAUUGCUCUGUUUAUUAUUACCCAAGUGCUGCUUCUCCCCUUUCACAUCAGUGUGAAGUAUUCUUCACCUCAGGUUGGCAGAGGGAAGUUUUCUUGGGGAAACUCUUGAUUCCCUGUGGCUAUUAACAUGUUUAUUUAUGACUGUAAUAACCCUAGAACUCCCCCAGAUAAUCCUUAGAAAGGACAUUUUACAUUGGGCUGUUUCCUGAGGUCGGGAGCUAUAAAGGGAACUCAUUUCUCAUAUCCAGGUCUUCACAUCCGAGGCACUAGAGGGACUCUGUUUUGAUCAGGGUUAUUGCAGGAAUCAGAUGGCACACAAAUUGUAUAGUUUGAGGAGAAUUUUAGAAAGGGACUGUUUACAAAGGCAUGGUCAGGUGUAGGGAAACCAAGAGAGAUUGGGUACUAUUCUGGGGCUGAAAAUAAGCUAGGUCUGAUGGAGAGAUGGGAAUGAAUGGUUAUCAAAACUGAGAGAAAUAAAUUCAGAGACAGAAACUGAGAGCUGCGUGGAGAAGUUUGCCUGAGAGGAGCAGCACCCUUUGUUCAAGUCCGUGGAGACUCUGCAGAGAGGCAUCCCAGGGAUUAAACGCCCUGCACUCUCCUCCCUUCCUCUGGUCUCCUGCUGAUGUGCUUCAGUGGCCAAAUCCAAGUGGAAACCAGAAGGCAGAGGAGCCUGAAGAAGUGGCCCACGCUCGCCAGCCUCUUGGGGCACAGAGCAGGGUGGAAAACAAUGGAGAGAGGAUCUGGCAGGGCAAGUGGUAGAUACUCAAUACAAUCACCCAGAAGGAAUCCAGACAUAAUGGGCCCUGUAAAUGGAGGCCAUGCUUCAUAGAGCUUCACUCUGAAAUAAUCUGGGGGAAAUACUUGAAACUUCCUUUUGAAUCUUCAACUUCUUCUGUAAAUAUUUCUUUAUCUUGUUCCUCAUUGGCAUUAGCCCCUUACUAAUUUGCUUACUUAAGGGCUAUAACACGCUAUAAAAACAAAAAAACACAAACUCUCCGUGUCUUGCUAUUACCUCCAGGAUAAAGUCCACCUUUAGUGUGGCAUUUGAGAAUCUUCAAACUCUGGCUCCAACGUUUCACUGUCUGGGUAGCUCUUAUUCAUCUUUCAAUACUUACUAACCUGAAGCUUGACUGGAUGCAGCAAUUCAACUGGAGGAUUUUCCUGCUCUCUCCUCCACCCUUAUCAAGACGGGUUCCCCUGCUGGUUCUUUUCCUCCUGCAAGGACUAACGGGAAGUAAUCUUAUAAUCAAUCCCUGAUAAUAUUGUAAAGGAUGCUAAUGAAGUCACAUCACUUGUCAGAUAACCAUCACAUGCAUUUUUCUGGGCAUAUUUUGGAAAUUCAGCAUGAACUCAGCAGAGUAGCUUCCUUGGAGAGCUGUGCAGGUGUUGGGCUUGGCUGGUGGGUGAGAGGUUGGGAGGCACGUGUGCCUUUCAGCAUUGCACAGAUUAUAACACGGGGGAGGCCCUUGCUGUAUCUCAAGGGGGAAUGACCCUGCGUGGAAUAGUCUUUCAGACAUCGUCUUCCUUAUCUAAAGCAAAGAGGAUUCUGACAUAGCUGAAUAGGCACAGAACAAAAAGUCAGGAUAUUUUCUUUUAAAUGACAAUACCUUCUACUAACACUAUUGAUGGCUCCCACUCUCAUUGACUUGGUCUUUCCAUCUGUGAAAUGGGGGCUAAUCCCCAUCCCACUUUUCUGGUAGGAUAAUUGUGGAAACCAAAGAAAUAGCAUAUGUGAAACAUUUUGUGAAGAUCCCUGAAAAUCAAGGACAUGUCUCUAAAAGUCUGAAUUGCAUGUGGCUCAAAGCUUGGAAGGGCAUUUUUCAGUCUCCAAAAAAUUAGUCCUUAUAUAUUUACUCUCCACUUUAAAAGGAGCCUCCAAACCAUCAUAUUCCAUUGUGUGUAAGAAACAAACUUUGCAACAUGGUUUAGGUUUAAACUGUCAGAAAUAUUUUUUUAAGUUUGAAUCAGGCUUAUUGGGAUUAGCAAAAGGGAGACAUCAACAUUAAAGAGCCGCCUCGAAAACUGUUCUGGAGUUUUAAUCAUGUUGAAGAAAAGGGGUCUUAGUUCCAGAUGUUAAAGAAAUAAUAUGAGUUUUACAUGUAAGUUUAUAGUAAAUUCAUUUACAUCUGAAGUAAUUAACACGAGCUACAACUUAUGAACUCUCAUUCUAUCCUAAACUUGCCAUUUUUUACAAUUUGCCACAAUUAUCUAAGAUCUAUUUUACAGACUGAUGUCUAAACAGCAUGAAGAUUUAUAUUUCAGAUGCAUUUAAACAGGUUCUGUAAUAAAAUGUUUUGAGGGUAAUUCCUUACUUCUUUGCAUUGAAGGGCAUAAAAAUACCACUGAGGAACUCUUUUAUUUAGGAUUGAAAACUUUGUUGAGCUUUCUACCUUAGCUGCUUUGUCAGCCAACCAAGGCUCUUCGUGUUUACCAGGUCCCAAAUUAUGGGUCCUGCGGCUUUUCUAUCAGCACAGAGAAGGAAUUUAAAACCAGAAUAAGCAAAGUACUUUAACAUUCUAGAGAUUUACUUCAUAACUUCCUUUAAUUAAAGUCGAUUCUCUUAUUAAAGAGAAAUUCAUAUUUUUGAUCUCACAUUUUUUCUCCUUUUUCUCUCGGAGAUGGCACUCAUAGUAUUGUGUUGCCACAGUUGCGAACAUAGAUGGGUUUCAAAUUUACUACUCCAUUACUAUUUCUCUGAAAUCAUUCUUUCCUGUGAAUACCUAAUUCUUAAUCUCUCUGUGUUUUAGUUUUCUGAUUUGUAAGAGAGAUCAACGAUCGCAGGGUUGAGAAUUCUCGUUUUGAGAAUUUGGUGAGUUCAGUAGAUGUAAAGGGUUUAGAAUGCUGCCUGGCACAGAGUAAGAACUCGAUAUGUACCCCUACUGCUGUGGUCAUUGCUGUCGCCGUUGGUACUCAAGGACUUUCUUGAGUCAUAUUCUUGAAAAACAUGAAGAUCGAUGGACCACUUUUGUGUCUUUUGCUUUGGUAGAAUCCAAAAAGAUUAGACCAACUAGUAGGAUGAUCUCUGAGGAGAUAAAUAUGAGAUUUUAUUCCAGAAGCUUCAGUCUUUGAGAGUCUUACCCUUAGGAGCAGAAUGAUGACUAUUUGGAAUCCUCCAAAGCAACAUAAUGAGUAUUUGCUUUUCUUUUCAUUUUUUACAAUUUUUUUGAGCCAGAAGCAGCAGUGGAUUCUGCUGUCAUUCUGAUAUUCCCUAGCUAUUUUUGUGGGCACCUUGCCUGAUUUAGUUAUGCUUUAUAAAUUUUAAAAUAUGAUUAGAGUCUCCAUACUACUUUAUCUCUGAGCUUGAGAAAUAUAAAAAUGAAAAAUAUAGUGGAAGCCUGUAUUCGUUAGGAUUAAGUUUAGCUGCAUAUGAAAGAAACUCAAAUAGCAGCGGCUUAACUAAGACAGGAGGUAAUUUUUCUCUCUCACAUAAAAGAUGACCAGUGGUUGGCAGUCCAGGGCUGGUAUGGUAACUGCACGAUUAUCAAUGACCCAGGCCUAUUCUCUCUUUCUGUUCCUCCAUCCUCAGUAUGACUUCCAUCCUCAAGGUUGCCUCAUGGUGGAGAGAUAACCAUUGUAGCUCCAGUCAUCAUGUUUGUGUUCCAGGCAGCAGAAAGGAGGAAAGGAGAGAGACAAAAAUAUGACUUCCCACUGAGUGAGCCCCCUUUAAAGAGCUUUCUGAGAAGCCCCACACUGCAAUUUUUGCCUACUAUCUCAAGGGAAGAUGGGAAAUAUAGAUUUUAUCUAGAAUUUGCCAAAAAAACUAUUCACAACUUGGGGAUGUAUCCAUACCAUCUCCAUCAGCUGACCACGUGGGAGCUAUCCUUGCAGUUGUAUUCCAUAGUUGGGGGGCAAAGUGGACUACAUGAGCUACAGAAUCAGACCAAUCUGGGUUUGGAUCCUGGUCUGCACGUUAGUCUUUGGAUGUCCUCAGGCAAGUUAGGGAACUUCCUUGAGCCUUAAUUUUAUCAUCUAUCAAACGGCGAUAAUAAUAGAGUCUACUUUAUAUGGAUUAAAGAGAUGACAGAAGUACAUAAAUUUUUAUCCAAUUAAUAAUUUCUAAAAUGAGUACCAGUAAUUUUAUUUCUUUUAGUGCCACUUUUGGGUCAAACAUUGUGCCAGCUUUUACAAAUGCCAUAUCUUAUCCCCAUAACAAAAUUGCAAAGUAUUUUACAGAUUAAUAAAUCAGAAACUCAAAGAGACUAAGUAACUUGACCAAGAUUACACAGAACUGAAAUAUAACCCCUCCUUCCCAAUUAAAAACAAAAACAAAAAAGCCCAGAUCUUUCUGACUCUAACAAUUGCGCUUUUUCUUCCAAAUUACUUUGUUUCUUUCAGAUCCAGGUUACAAUUGGAUACACAGGACGUAUAGGCUUAUGUAAUAACAAACUGGGUUCUAAUAGCCUUUUACUUUACUGAUUGUAUUCACUCAGCAAAUAUCAGGAGGUGUCAGAGAUGGUGAAUUAGGGCUUUAAGCCCAGACUUUGGACUGGCCGUGUCCUGGGGAAAAAAUGGGACCCGGCUACAACAGAAAAAUAGGAACGAUUUUUCUGCCUAAGGCAUAGUUUCAAAGUCUCCUUGCUUCUGGCUCUUUGUCACCUAGUUAUAUAUACAGCCUUUGACUGAAAUAACUUGGUUGGGUUGCCAGAUGCUAUUGUUCUCUGUCUUCUGAUGUCAAUUCAAUUUGAAAAACUGAAAUGGGGCAUUUUGAGCUGGAUUAAUACGCUACAUUCCUGGGAGGUAUAUACCAUGCCCACAUGAUUUGCAUAGAUGGUAAAGGUUGCCAUUAUAGGCCAAGUCUAGAUGCUAUCACUGCAACAGAAGGCAUGGCUGAAUUCACAGGUAGGAGUCAGAGCAGGAAAAGCGAUUUCUGAGUUAGAACCUGAAGGAUAAAGAGAAAUUUGCUAAAGGAAGAGAGGCUGGAAGAGUAUUCCAAGCAGAAGGAAUAGCAUGUGCCUUUGACUCUGAGCUCUGACUUUUGGACGCUCGUUCUUUGAUUAUUUUUACCCUUACUAUCUAACUUUGCCUUGACUCUGUCAGGGCUGGCUUUCAACCUCGCCUUCUGAAAGGCCAUCAUCAAACAUGGAUGCCACCACCUUAAACAGCAUGCCGUGGGGAUUAUGUCCACAUGAAACCAAUGUUAACAAACCAUUCUGCAAAAUUGUUCUGAAACAGAGGCGGCAGCUAGGCUUCAUUUCCUGUGCCAAUGCUAAGAGUUUGUUGGUGGCAGCCUGGACAGAUCAAAAGGAUACUGAAGACUAGUGGAAAGAGUCCCAUGGUUAAUUAGUGAUGCUUCCCUAGGUUCAGAAACAGAGUUCUGACACACACAGGUAUUGGCAUUCUUGGGUCCAAAACUCUCUUUCCUCUUUUCCAUUACAUUUGAAUGGAAUUAGGAAAAAUGUCAAAGAAGCAGCAGGGCACAGGCCAGAAAGCACAAAUGAUAACACCUCCUGUCUCUUGCCUGUAGCAUUUCCAACCUCAACACGCCAAGUUUGGCUUUUGGUAAUAAUAGAAAGAUGGCUGCAAGUUCCCUGGGCCGUCUCGAUGGUCCCUACAUGUGCAAGCUCCUUCAGACACCCAGCUGCUGCUCCUCACAUGCCUGCCAACAAUCAAGUACUUGCUGUAGGGCUGGCCCUUUUCAGAAAUGGCUGGGGAGAGGUGGAAAUAUUGUCCAUGGUCACAGACUUGAGGUUGCUACUGGCCUGCAUGGACUUGAUCCUCUGACCUCAUUCUCAUAAAAAUUUCCUGCUCACCCACUGAAUAACAAGCUGCAGACAACAGUCUCCUUUGCAAAAAAAUUAUUUCUGAAAAUGAAAAAAGAAUAUUAUUAUAAUUAUUUCCCCACUUAAAACUUUUCAUUGGUUCCGUUGACUGCUUGCCAACCAUCUUUACCCCUUUAUCUUGUACUGUACCUUCCAGCUGCAUAAACAACUGAAUGUUCUUUUACUCUCUGCCUCACUAUUUUACUGUCUGUGUCUUUGUCCAUUCAGACUCUCCCACCUGGAGCCCUCUUCAGCUCCACUUUGUCUGUGUAGCUACUUCUAUUCAAAUUCCAGAUCUGGCUGGAGCACAACCAUCUUUGUGACUCUUGCCCGUCCAUCCCACCUGCUUCAUCUCUCUCUCUCAGCAGUGCCAUUGCUAUGCUUUUUAUGUCCUUUUAUUAUUGCACAUGUCAUAUUUAUUGUAGAUAAGUUAUGCCCUACUAGACUGGGAUUGGAUCUCCUUCAUCUUCCGAUGGGCGUUUAAGCCAGAGGCUGGUCACCUCAGAUGUUGAAUUUAACCUAAUCAUUAAAAAACCCACUAAAACGCACUUUAUAUCUCCACUUUUUAUUGACCUCCGUGUAUGUCCGUAGGAGUGAGGAAACUUCUGGCUAACCAAACAUAGAUAUAUAUGCUCAUUUCAUUUGUUUAUCCUUGAAUUCUCCUAUUUCAUGGAUUAUGCUCAGGACAAGGAAGAUCAGGAUUAAAAAGUAGACAUUUUGAGUUACUUCAAUGCAAUUUGGAGAGACAGGAGGUCGUUUAUUUUUUUCUUGGAUUUUUUACCAAAGAGAUUUUAUUUUUAUUUAUCACAACAGGGUUCCAGGCAACAUCUUGCCUAGUCAUGUUAAUUGAAUUAUUCAGAUUGCUUAUGAGUUAAUAUUGUCUAGCCUCAUGUUUCCAGCUCAUUAAAUAAUAACCAAAACUCCAAGUAAUUAAGGCAUUUAGAAAAUGCUGUUAACUGCCACUGAAUUUUGUCUCCCUCCUAGUCUCAUUGAAUAUUGGGUAGAAAACACUUAACCCUUGGCUCAUGUCACCCUCUUCGAGUGUGGCCAUCAUCCUUCUGGAUUCUUCCCAAAUACACUGGCCUAGUUUACUACACUGUGGGUUUUUGAAGCCUUUUUCCCCAUUAACUGUUGUGCUGUUUGGAACCACGUUGUCAGUCAAAGAAGAAGGAGAAAGAUUGUGAGCUCUCACUUGUCCAAACAUGCUUAAUUGUUUGCUUGCUUUCUCGAAGUUUGGUAAAGACCAGUGUUGGUGUAUCCCAAGUGCCCCAGACCCCAUCAGCCUCUGUGAGAGAAUAAAUUAAACUCCUUUUUCAAAAAAAUCCAAGAUUAAAAAGUGAGCCCCCAUUAUGUUUGACUGCAGAAAGCUCUGUCUUUAGAAGACUUGAUUCCUCAAGUGUCUCUAGACAUCCGCCAAGAAUGCUUAAAUAUUCCGCAAGUUCAUCCCAUUGGCUCCCCUUGCCAACUGGCUGGCUCUAGAUUGCUGCUCUCCUCUUCUGCUGGUUGCAUCUUACCGUCUCAGAAGGGUCCACUCAGUCUUGGGCUCCUUCUGUAACUAUGCAUGAGCCUGGGCACAGCCUCUUUCUUUAACUCACCGUCGAGAUAUCUAAUGCAGGACAAUGAAGGCUUUCAAAUAGUGGAAGACUAUUGCAGCACGAAGAUUGGACAUGGAUACCAGAUGCAGCAGAUCUCAGGGUCUGUAGGCCAAGGCUCCCUCCGGAAGACCGACUGGGGAGGUCUGUUAUGAGUUGAAUUGUAUACCCAAAAAGGUAUGUUGAAGUCCUAACCUCCAGUACCUCAGAAUGUGACUUUCUGUGAAAAUAGGAUCUUAUAGAUGUAAUUAGUUGAGGUGAGGUGGUGUUGGAGUGGUGUGGGAUCCUUAAUGCAUCAUGAAGGGUGCCCUUAUAAGAGACACAGAGAGAAGAAUGCCAUGUGAAGACAAAGACAUAGAGAGGAGAAUGCCAUGUGAAGACCAAAGCACAGAUUACAGUGAUGCAGCUACAAGCCAAGGAACACCACGGACUGACAGCCACCAUCAGAAGCUAGGAAGAGGCCGGGAAACAGUCUCCCCUACAAGUUUUCAGAGGAAGCACAGCCCUGCCAACACUUUGAUUUUGGACUUCUGGCUCCAGAAUUGUGAGACAAUAAAUUGAUGUUGUUUUAAGCCACCUAGUUUGUGGUGCUCUGUUACAGCAUCUCUAGGAAACUAAUACAGGUUCCCUCUUGCUAGCUCCCAGCCAGCUGUCACAUUGCAGAAUCUAGCUCACCUCUGCAAAUCAGGGUAUCCUUGAGCUGCUCCUGCCCGUCUAACGUCCCAGACCAAAUUCUGAGGUCCUCCCCAUCUAACUCCACAUCUCCUCUGUCCUAGGGUGACUGGUAGUUGGCAUGUCCAUUUUCUUUCAUGAAAACAAACAAAGCUUUGGUUGGCUUUCCCCCAGGAGUCCCUUUGUGACGACCACCACCUAU